RNAcentral lists this ribosomal RNA (511 nucleotides) under uncultured bacterium. RNAcentral describes it as "partial 16S ribosomal RNA". It matches the Rfam family "Bacterial small subunit ribosomal RNA", at positions 28 to 506 of the family's 1533-position model. The record is from RNAcentral.
GAUGAACGCUGGCGGCGUGCCUAAUACAUGCAAGUCGAACGAAACUUCUUUAUCACCGAGUGCUUGCACUCACCGAUAAAGAGUUGAGUGGCGAACGGGUGAGUAACACGUGGGCAACCUGCCCAAAAGAGGGGGAUAACACUUGGAAACAGGUGCUAAUACCGCAUAACCAUAGUUACCGCAUGGUAACUAUGUAAAAGGUGGCUAUACUACCGCUUUUGGAUGGGCCCGCGGCGCAUUAGCUAGUUGGUAGGGUAAAGGCUUACCAAGGCAAUGAUGCGUAGCCGAAUUGAGAGGUUGAUCGGCCACAUUGGGACUGAGACACGGCCAAAACUCCUACGGGAGGCAGCAGUAGGGAAUCUUCCACAAUGGGCGAAAGCCUGAUGGAGCAACGCCGCGUGGGUGAAGAAGGUCUUCGGAUCGUAAAACCCUGUUGUUAGAGAAGAAAGUGCGUGAGAGUAACUGUUCACGUUUCGACGGUAUCUAACCAGAAAGCCACUGCUAACUACGU